This is a non-coding RNA of Terramyces sp. JEL0728, 72 nucleotides long. Lineage: Eukaryota; Fungi; Chytridiomycota; Chytridiomycetes; Rhizophydiales; Terramycetaceae. The record is from the annotation of a GenBank genome assembly.
GCCCGGCUAGCUCAAUGGUAGAGCGUGAGACUUUUAAUCUCAAGGUUGGGGGUUCGAGUCCCCCGUCGGGCU